GUAGGGAAUUUUGCGCAAUGGGGGAAACCCUGACGCAGCAACACCGCGUGAAUGUUAAGCCCUUCGGGGUGUAAAGUUCUGUCAGUGGGGAAGAAAAAGUGACUGUACCCACAAAGGAAGCACCGGCUAACUCCGUGCCAGCAGCCGCGGUAAUACGGGGGGUGCAAGCGUUGUCCGGAAUCAUUGGGCGUAAAGCGUUCGUAGGCGGUAAAGUAAGUCAGAUGUUAAAGCCCGGGGCUCAACUCCGGUUCGGCAUUUGAUACUACUUAACUAGAAUGCGGUAGAGGUAAAGGGAAUUCCUGGUGUAGCGGUGAAAUGCGUAGAUAUCAGGAGGAACAUCGGUGGCGAAAGCGCUUUACUGGGCCGUUAUUGACGCUGAGGAACGAAAGCCAGGGGAGCAAAUGGG
RNAcentral lists this ribosomal RNA (406 nucleotides) under uncultured bacterium. RNAcentral's name for it is "bacterial SSU rRNA". It matches the Rfam family "Bacterial small subunit ribosomal RNA", at positions 354 to 776 of the family's 1533-position model. The record is from RNAcentral.